UGAACUCUCAAAGCCCACAUCUUGAUGUGGCUUUGGACUUGGGGGCUUUUGCAGGCUUUUAAUAAAAGGCCUGCUCCCCUGAAAUUCAUUAGUGGUACCUGGAGCGGAAACCGCUAGGUGUUGAUAACAUUCAUCUAUGCCUUUGGUAUGCCGCGCGAAUGGGCUGCUUCGAAAACGCACAUGCUCUUGACAA
This 193-nucleotide unclassified non-coding RNA is filed under the name uncultured Inocybe. RNAcentral's name for it is "sequence contains ITS2". The record is from RNAcentral. Lineage: Eukaryota; Fungi; Basidiomycota; Agaricomycetes; Agaricales; Cortinariaceae.